AAACCCUAACUUCACAAAUUCUCAAAAAUCAGAAGGAAAUUAAGAGUUCUAAUGGAUGCAUGAACCCUAAAUCGAGUAAUCUAAGCUUGUUCAACCCUUGGUGUUAAGGAAGAGGGCUCAAGUCAAGUGAAGCAACAAGGGAACCAAGAUCGAGGUAAAUCUCAAGUUUAAUGACAAGCUUCGCCCGGUCCGAACACACCUCAAGCCCGUCAUGCGUUCCGCACUUUUGUAAAGAAGACAAUGUUUAAUACUUUGUCACUUUUGUCCAUGUCAAGUAGUUAAUCCUAGCUUUUUAUUAUGUUUGUCUUUUGAAAACUAAGUAGUAUGUAAGUACUUAAACUUAAUGGUUUCGUAGGUGAAACAAGGUUUGUUUUGAUGUGUA
Long non-coding RNA from Helianthus annuus (common sunflower), 382 nucleotides. RefSeq lists it as uncharacterized. The record is from RefSeq and is a predicted model, not a curated record. NCBI's taxonomy places the organism in Eukaryota, Viridiplantae, Streptophyta, Magnoliopsida, Asterales, Asteraceae. The transcript has 3 exons.